Molecule: long non-coding RNA, 1041 nt
Filed under: Homo sapiens (human)
Lineage: Eukaryota; Metazoa; Chordata; Mammalia; Primates; Hominidae
Description: HSALNT0384730
Source: RNAcentral
CUCCUGGGCUCUGGGGAUCCUCCUGCCUGAGCCUCCCAAAGUGCUGGGGUUCAGGCACCUGGCCUGAAAAUCCCUUUAUGUUAGUCCAGAGAGGCGAGGCUGCGCUGCAGUAACAAAUUCGCCGUAAAAUCUUCGGAAAUGAUCACAAGGCUUUAUUUCUUGCUCACGCAGUUCUUGGUGAGGGUCAGCUGCCUCUCCAGGGUAGGUGACUUCCCUGUGACAAGUGAUCCAGGCUGUCCUGGUUUUGUGACAUGGCCUCCCAAGGGUUGGCCUCCAGGUCCCCACAGUGGGAGAAGGGAGAGUGGACGACUCUCACCCACUCUUCUGUGUCUGAAACCGGAACUGACGCAGUUAAUCCCACUCACAGCCCAUUGGCCAAAAUGAGUCACAUGGCCCCAACCCAACCACUGCGGGAGCUGGGAAAUGGAGCGGUGCCUGUGGAAGAGAAGGAUUUCUCCCUUUCCUAACUGAUGUGGUUCUGGAGUUUUGGAUAGCGGAGUAGUCAGACUAGUGUGUUCGGUUUCUAACUUCGAACUGGUAGAACCAGAGCAUGCAGAGCAAAAAGAAGCCCUCAGACAUCAGCUUGUACAAACUGGCUUGAUGCAGUACCUAAAGAUGGCUGAGGAUGCUUAUAUGGCUGCUUUAUCACCAAGGCAAAAGAGGUUGAUCCAGUUGCCUGGCAACAGAAGCUUCUUCCUGUACCCCCCGCCCACCUGCUGUUGAGAAUCUCUCGGUCAUGUUCCAUCUGCCCACGAGUGAGCAUUCGCGUCAUUCAUCAGUUAGUGGUGAGAACAUCCAAGGCUCGGGGGAUUCAGCAGCUGUCCUGAGUGCCACAGUAAGUGAUAGAGCCUGGAUUUAAACCCAUCUUUGCUUGACUCUAAAGCUUGAGACAGAAACAGCCCAUCCUCGGAGUCAAGUGAACUUAGAGAAGACCUAGGACAAUUGUCGGGGACAGUGGUAGCCAUGGGUUUUGUUGUUUGUUUUUUGAGAUGGAGUCUCUCUCUGUCACCCAGGCUGGAGUGCAGUGGUGCAAUCUCAGCU